UACGGAGGGUGCAAGCGUUGUUCGGAAUUAUUGGGCGUAAAGGGCGCGUAGGCGGUUGCGUAAGUCAGAUGUGAAAUACUUCGGCUUAACCGAAGAACUGCAUUUGAAACUGCACAGCUAGAGUACAGGAGAGGGAAAUGGAAUUCCCGGUGUAGAGGUGAAAUUCGUAGAUAUCGGGAGGAACACCAGUGGCGAAGGCGAUUUCCUGGCCUGAUACUGACGCUGAGGCGCGAAAGCGUGGGGAG
RNAcentral lists this ribosomal RNA (245 nucleotides) under uncultured Syntrophorhabdus sp. RNAcentral describes it as "partial 16S ribosomal RNA". It matches the Rfam family "Bacterial small subunit ribosomal RNA", at positions 524 to 768 of the family's 1533-position model. Lineage: Bacteria; Pseudomonadati; Thermodesulfobacteriota; Syntrophorhabdia; Syntrophorhabdales; Syntrophorhabdaceae. The record is from RNAcentral.